This 74-nucleotide transfer RNA is filed under the name Actinomycetes bacterium. RNAcentral's name for it is "Actinobacteria bacterium tRNA-Pro". It matches the Rfam family "tRNA". Rfam says of the family: Transfer RNA (tRNA) molecules are approximately 80 nucleotides in length. Their secondary structure includes four short double-helical elements and three loops (D, anti-codon, and T loops). The record is from RNAcentral. RNAcentral also lists the same sequence under 1 other name. Lineage: Bacteria; Bacillati; Actinomycetota; Actinomycetes.
CGGGGCGUAGCGCAGCUUGGCAGCGCGCCUGCUUUGGGAGCAGGAGGUCCCGGGUUCAAAUCCCGGCGCCCCGA